UGCUGCUGCAACCGCUUAGGGCAACGUGCAUCACUUCUCUGUUGGAGCAGUGACACGAAGUCAGCACUGUGUUCAGGGCUGUUUGCUGACUGAGCUCCAAAACCACAGACUUUCUGCACUUAGUGCUUGGGAGACGUGAGCAGGGGGCUGGAGAAGGAAAAGAAAGCGUUUGUAGUGAUUGGCUGGGGAGCUUGGAGACCUGAAUCAAGACCUGAAGCUGUCAACUUGCUGAAGUAGUGUCUACACAAAGCUGGACUGCAUCAACAGUUCUCCAUUAUCAGCCGCUCUGUGGUUGGUGAGUCUCUUGUUCAAAUUGCUGAUUCCAGAUCCCCCCCACCUCC
This 341-nucleotide long non-coding RNA is filed under the name Gallus gallus (chicken). Its description in RNAcentral is "long non-coding RNA NONGGAT008694". Lineage: Eukaryota; Metazoa; Chordata; Aves; Galliformes; Phasianidae. The record is from RNAcentral.